UAACCUGUGCCAACACAGUCUAAGACUCA
RNAcentral lists this non-coding RNA (29 nucleotides) under Rattus norvegicus (Norway rat). The record is from RNAcentral. Lineage: Eukaryota; Metazoa; Chordata; Mammalia; Rodentia; Muridae.